This is a long non-coding RNA of Trachymyrmex cornetzi, 238 nucleotides long. RefSeq lists it as uncharacterized. NCBI's taxonomy places the organism in Eukaryota, Metazoa, Arthropoda, Insecta, Hymenoptera, Formicidae. The transcript is spliced from 3 exons. The record is from RefSeq and is a predicted model, not a curated record.
ACGUACCAAAAAGAACGACAGGACCGACCCCGGAUGAAUAUCGUGGCGGCGCAGCGGCGACGUCAUGGCGGAGUCUCGUUCGCUUAUUACCAUGGAGAAAACCAUCGACUGAAAUACUGCCGUUAAUCCGCGCUGCAGCCGGCGUCGCCGACGCCAUCGUCGUCGCCAGACAUCACGGCAGAAGCGGCCGAACUAAUUAGAUCUGUGAGAUACAUAUAAUCCUGCCCCGAUAGCCGCG